ACGCUGGCGGCGUGCCUAAUACAUGCAAGUCGAACGAGAGCGACCGGUGCUUGCACUGGUCAAUCUAGUGGCGAACGGGUGAGUAACACGUGGGUAACCUGCCCAUCAGAGGGGGAUAACAUUCGGAAACGGAUGCUAAAACCGCAUAGGUCUUCGAACCGCAUGGUUUGAAGAGGAAAAGAGGCGCAAGCUUCUGCUGAUGGAUGGACCCGCGGUGCAUUAGCUAGUUGGUGAGGUAACGGCUCACCAAGGCCGUGAUGCAUAGCCGACCUGAGAGGGUGAUCGGCCACAUUGGGACUGAGACACGGCCCAAACUCCUACGGGAGGCAGCAGUAGGGAAUCUUCCGCAAUGGACGCAAGUCUGACGGAGCAACGCCGCGUGAGUGAAGAAGGUUUUCGGAUCGUAAAACUCUGUUGUUAGAGAAGAACAAGUGCUAGAGUAACUGUUAGCGCCUUGACGGUAUCUAACCAGAAAGCCACGGCUAACUACGUGCCAGCAGCCGCGGUAAUACGUAGGUGGCAAGCGUUGUCCGGAUUUAUUGGGCGUAAAGCGAGCGCAGGCGGUUCCUUAAGUCUGAUGUGAAAGCCCCCGGCUCAACCGGGGAGGGUCAUUGGAAACUGGGGAACUUGAGUGCAGAAGAAGAGAGUGGAAUUCCAUGUGUAGCGGUGAAAUGCGUAGAUAUAUGGAGGAACACCAGUGGCGAAGGCGACUCUCUGGUCUGUAACUGACGCUGAGGCUCGAAAGCGUGGGUAGCAAACAGGAUUAGAUACCCUGGUAGUCCACGCCGUAAACGAUGAGUGCUAAGUGUUGGAGGGUUUCCGCCCUUCAGUGCUGCAGUUAACGCAUUAAGCACUCCGCCUGGGGAGUACGACCGCAAGGUUGAAACUCAAAGGAAUUGACGGGGACCCG
This 910-nucleotide ribosomal RNA is filed under the name uncultured bacterium. RNAcentral's name for it is "bacterial SSU rRNA". It matches the Rfam family "Bacterial small subunit ribosomal RNA", at positions 33 to 923 of the family's 1533-position model. The record is from RNAcentral.